Esox lucius (northern pike) is the source of this 1100-nucleotide long non-coding RNA. The record is from Ensembl. NCBI's taxonomy places the organism in Eukaryota, Metazoa, Chordata, Actinopteri, Esociformes, Esocidae.
GUCAGGGGUGAAGGGGACACAGGUGAGAAGGGUCAGGGGUUAAGGGAAUACAGGUGAGAAGGGUCAGGGGUUAAAAGGACACAGGUGAGAAGGGUCAGGGGUUAAGGGGACACAGGUGAGAAGGGUCAGGGGUUAAGGGGACACAGGUGAGAAGGGUCAGGGGUUAAGGGGAUACAGGUGGCUUGCCUUGUUACACCACCUGACAUCAAUCUUAGUGGGCCAGAAAUGCUGCGGGACAUCAAUGUCUACGGUUCAACGCAGACAGCCAGCCAUCUGUAGGACACAUGCUGUAAAUUGUGACAUGAAAUAGUUGACAGUCAUCCUCACUGGGCCAUCUUGGAUGUUUUGGGAAUCUUUUAUUGUAAUGUCAAGAGAAGGGGUGGACACAAACCUAGCAGGGAGGGGCAAAGGCAGAACACACACAGUUGAAGUACACAAACACACAAACCAAUAUGCACACACACACAUACAUACGCAAAGGCGGAGUCGGUAGUUCACUCAGAGGGUCACGAUGUAAAUAAAUGAGUGAACCGAGGUGUUUCUCAUCAGGCACCAACGAGGCCAGCUCGGGUCCUCCAGGAUGAAAUACACUCAAAAACAAACAAACAAAUGUGCUUAUGAUCCACUAGAGGUGUCUUCUUUUAGUAUGAGGCAAAAUAAGAAAAUUAGAUCAUUGAAUAAGUGGGUAUUUAAAAAAUACAAAUAAAGAAAAAUAAAAAAAAUUCAAAGGAGGUUUAAAAAGCAGUGCUGUACUUUGGAUGUCUAAUAGUCUAUAUUACUUAAUUUGACCUUAUAUUUUAUAUACAGGAAAAUGUGGACCACAUAUUCUGUAUAAAUAUAUAGAUGGCAUGUUGUAAAAGUUCUGACAAAAAUGUGUACAUAAAGGUGUUUUUAUUCAUUUAUAAUUGUUCAGUGAAGCUGAAAUUGGGUCUGUGUUGUCUCUCUCAGAAAUCCUAUGUCUUUUGGGCCAUUGGACUUGCCAUAGCCAUAGGUUUUCAGAAAUUCCAACCUCAUCAUAGCAAAUGAAAUGGCAGGAGGGCGGGACAGUUGGGUGGGGGGGGGGUUGCUGUCCAUUUGCUUGUUAUUUUGUACAUUUUGUG